UGCGCUGGAAGCUCAGCGGCUGAGCACUCGCCUGAUAAGCGAGAGGCCGGAGGUUCGAAUCCUCCACGGCGCAU
Molecule: transfer RNA, 74 nt
Filed under: Humisphaera borealis
Lineage: Bacteria; Pseudomonadati; Planctomycetota; Phycisphaerae; Tepidisphaerales; Tepidisphaeraceae
Description: tRNA-Ile
Rfam family: tRNA
About the family: Transfer RNA (tRNA) molecules are approximately 80 nucleotides in length.
Source: RNAcentral